CACCGCGGUAAUUCCAGCUCCAAUAGCGUAUAUUAAAGUUGUUGCAGUUAAAAAGCUCGUAGUUGAAUUUCGGGAUCAAGGGAUCGGUCAUGCCUUGGUAUGUACUGGUUUCAUUGGUUCUCACCUUCUAAAGAACCAUGAUGUCAUUCAUUUGAUGUUAUGGGGAAUUAGGACUGUUACCUUGAAAAAAUUAGAGUGUUUAAAGCAAGCUUACGCUUGAAUACAUUAGCAUGGAAUAAUGAAAUAGGACAUCAGAUUCUAUUUUGUUGGUUUCUAGGAUCGAUGUAAUGAUUAAUAGGGAUAGUUGGGGGCAUUAGUAUUCAAUUGUCAGAGGUGAAAUUCUUGGAUUUAUUGAAGACUAACUACUGCGAAAGCAUUUGCCAAGGAUGUUUUCAUUAAUCAAGAACGAAAGUUAGGGGAUCGAAGACGAUCAGAUACCGUCGUAGUCUUAACCAUAAACUAUGCCGACUAGGGAUCGGAUGAUGUUAAUUUUUUAAUGACUCAUUCGGCACCUUACG
RNAcentral lists this ribosomal RNA (518 nucleotides) under uncultured Glomus. RNAcentral's name for it is "SSU rRNA". It matches the Rfam family "Eukaryotic small subunit ribosomal RNA", at positions 571 to 1092 of the family's 1831-position model. The record is from RNAcentral. Lineage: Eukaryota; Fungi; Glomeromycota; Glomeromycetes; Glomerales; Glomeraceae.